Long non-coding RNA from Ictalurus punctatus (channel catfish), 535 nucleotides. The record is from Ensembl. Lineage: Eukaryota; Metazoa; Chordata; Actinopteri; Siluriformes; Ictaluridae.
CUCACUAGAAAGUUAUUCGACUCUGAAUCAACUCGAAAUGAAUCAGUCAAACUGAUUCAGACUCUAUAAAAGGACUAUGAGAUGUGAUUAAGAUAUAUAUAUUCCAAUGUUUUGCUUUACAAUUCCAUUGUGUGUGUGUAUGUGUGUAUGUGUGUGCGUGCGCGCGCACGUGUGUUUUUCAGGAGAACGAGAAACUCGGACACAACAGUACAUCCUGACCAUUGGUACUGUGUACACAUCAACAUACACACACGUCUCCAUGCUGGACAUCUCAGGAGCUUUCACACAGUGCUAGGAAUAUCCCGGGACAGAGAAACGCACCUUCUAAGAAAAGAAAUGAUCUUUCGAGGCAGCUUCUUCAUCACUACCUGCUCCGUUUGACUCAAAAAUGUAACGACCGGUUUCAAAAAGUCACGAUGUCUUCAGUUCAUGAGAUUUUACUGUUGAAUUUAAACAGGAAAUGUGAAAUAUUUUUUCCCUUUGUUUCCUCUACUGUCUUUUUGCUGUGAUCUUGAACACAGUUGUAAUUUUUAAA